GGCUGGUCCAAAGGUAGUGAGUUAUUGAUUGUGCACAGUCAGUUACAGAUUGAACUUCUUGUUCUACUACUUUCUCCCCUUCUUACUACUGCACUUGACUAGUCUUUA
RNAcentral lists this Y RNA (108 nucleotides) under Prolemur simus (greater bamboo lemur). RNAcentral's name for it is "Y RNA (ENSPSMG00000008317.1)". It matches the Rfam family "Y RNA". Rfam says of the family: Y RNAs are components of the Ro ribonucleoprotein particle (Ro RNP), in association with Ro60 and La proteins. The Y RNAs and Ro60 and La proteins are well conserved, but the function of the Ro RNP is not known. In humans the RNA component can be one of four small RNAs -- hY1, hY3, hY4 and hY5. Lineage: Eukaryota; Metazoa; Chordata; Mammalia; Primates; Lemuridae. The record is from Rfam by way of RNAcentral.